AUCGAACGCUGGCGGCAGGCCUAACACAUGCAAGUCGAACGAGUGGCGGACGGGUGAGUAAUGUCUGGGAAACUGCCUGAUGGAGGGGGAUAACUACUGGAAACGGUAGCUAAUACCGCAUACCAUCGGAUGUGCCCUGAGGGGAUUAGCUAGUGGGUGGGGUAACGGCUCACCUAGGCGACGAUCCCUACCUGGUCUGAGAGGAUGACCAGCCACACUGGAACGGAGACACGGUCCAGACUCCUACGGGAGGCAGCAGUGGGGAAUAUUGCACAAUGGGCGCAAGCCUGAUGCAGCCAUGCCGCGUGUAUGAAGAAGGCCUUCGGUUUGUAAAGUACUUUCAGCGGGGAGGCGUUACUCGAAGAAGAAGCACCGGCUAACUCCGUGCCAGCAGCCGCGGUAAUAC
This 406-nucleotide ribosomal RNA is filed under the name uncultured bacterium. RNAcentral describes it as "partial 16S ribosomal RNA". It matches the Rfam family "Bacterial small subunit ribosomal RNA", at positions 30 to 526 of the family's 1533-position model. The record is from RNAcentral.